AACGUACGCUGGCGGCACGCCUAACACAUGCAAGUCGAACGAAGUAGCAAUACUUAGUGGCAGACGGGUGAGUAACAUGUAGGUAUCUGCCCUUUGGCCUGGAAUAACACGAGGAAACUUGUGCUAAUACCGGAUAAGUCUUUACGGAGAAAGCUUUAUGCACCAUUGGAUGAGCCUGCACUUGAUUAGUUUGUUGGUGGGGUACUGGCCUACCAAGACUGUGAUCAAUAGCUGAUUUGAGAGGAUGAUCAGCCACAUUGGGACUGAGACUCGGCCCAAACUCCUACGGGAGGCAGCAGUGGGGAAUCUUGCACAAUGGAGGAAACUCUGAUGCAGCGAUGCCGCGUGAGUGAAGAAGGCCCUUGGGUUGUAAAGCUCUUUCGUCGGGGAAGAAAAUGACUGUACCCGAAUAAGAAGGUCCGGCUAACUUCGUGCCAGCAGCCGCGGUAAUACGAAGGGACCUAGCGUAGUUCGGAAUUACUGGGCUUAAAGAGUUCGUAGGUGGUUAAAAAAGUUGGUGGUGAAAUCCCAGAGCUUAACUCUGGAACUGCCAUCAAAACUUUUUAGCUAGAGUAUGAUAGAGGAAAGCAGAAUUUCUAGUGUAGAGGUGAAAUUCGAAGAUAUUAGAAAGAAUACCAAUUGCGAAGGCAGCUUUCUGGAUCAUUACUGACACUGAGGAACGAGAGCAUGGGUAGCGAAGAGGAUUAGAUACCCUCGUAGUCCAUGCCGUAAACGAUGUGUGUUAGACGUUGGAAAUUUAUUUUCAGUGUCGCAGCGAAAGCGAUAAACACACCGCCUGGGGAGUACGACCGCAAGGUUAAAACUCAAAUGAAUUGACGGGGACCCGCACAAGUAGUGGAGCAUGUGGUUUAAUUCGAAGAUACGCGCAGAACCUUACCAACACUUGACAUGUUCGUCGCGACUUUAAGAGAUUAAAGUUUUCGGUUCGGCCGGACGAAACACAGGUGCUGCAUGGCUGUCGUCAGCUCGUGUCGUGAGAUGUUGGGUUAAGUCCCGCAACGAGCGCAACCCUCACUUUUAGUUGCCAUCAUUUAGUUGGGCACUCUGAAAGAACUGCCAGUGAUAAGCUGGAGGAAGGUGGGGAUGACGUCAAGUCCUCAUGGCCCUUACGUGUUGGGCUACACACGUGCUACAAUGGUAUCUACAACAGGAAGCAAGACUGCGAAGUUAAGCAAAUCCUUAAAAGAUACCUCAGUUCGGAUUGCACUCUGCAACUCGAGUGCAUGAAGCUGGAAUUACUAGUAAUCGUGGAUCAGCGUGCCACGGUGAAUGCGUUCCCGGGUCUU
This 1307-nucleotide ribosomal RNA is filed under the name uncultured bacterium. Its description in RNAcentral is "bacterial SSU rRNA". It matches the Rfam family "Bacterial small subunit ribosomal RNA", at positions 28 to 1382 of the family's 1533-position model. The record is from RNAcentral.